RNAcentral lists this ribosomal RNA (795 nucleotides) under Triticum aestivum (bread wheat). RNAcentral's name for it is "partial small subunit ribosomal RNA". The record is from RNAcentral. Lineage: Eukaryota; Viridiplantae; Streptophyta; Magnoliopsida; Poales; Poaceae.
CCCCACUCGGCCCAUGGUAUUUGCCCCCACUGCCUGGCUACUUCUCUACGGAUCUGUUAUAUAAAGCCCAGCCCAUCUUCUCUCGUGUGGAAAAAGGACAGCACUGGAGGAGCCCAUCUUAGAGAGAUUGAGACACGAGGCAAUGCAUACGAGCAAGCUAGAAGCGUACGCGUUCGUCAAACAAAAAGAAAACUGUAUCGUUCGUCCGUCGGUUGGCUUCUCGCACGACCGCCAAAGCGAAACGAAGCUGCCGCCGACGCCCAACUAUCAGCCUUGAUCUGCAGUUCUGCACGUACACGCCGAGUCGCCGAUCGGCCGGCUGGCCCGGGUUGCCGUCCCUAAGGAGAAAAACUGAAAAAGACGCGCGCCACUCAUCAGCCCUAGGAAAGCUAAUGAAGAGAUAUUUUGCAAAAUCCACAACUGGUAGUAUGCCUGAAAUAGUUGAUCUGGACAAGCUUACUCGGUAUCCAUCUAAAAGGAAGAGACUUAUAGAUUAUAAUAUCAAUCAGCAUGAGGAGAUUAGGAGAAAGUACCUGACAUGGGGGGCUUAUCAACCUUGUCCAGCCAAGUUUAAACCCAGGUGGAUUGGUAAGAGUAAGCGGUAUUUCAAUCCUGAAUGGUAUGAUCUCCCUAUGUUUGAAAAUGAUUUUUUUUAUGCAGCCUGAAGGCUAGAAAUCAAGGACAUAGCAACAAAAAGGGAUGGCAUACCCAUAUUUCUCAAGUUAUUCUGUCUUAAGAGGUUAAUUUACUUUUAUUUUGGCACUGAACAUGUCAUAGUUAUGUGUGUGAUGACAU